UCGUUUGGGGCGGAGCAACUGGUGAAAGUUUGACUUGGGAGCUGGAAAGUAAGAUGAGGGACUCUUAUCCUGAGUUGUUUGUUUGAGGUAAGAUUUCGAGGACGAAAUUCAGUAAUUUGGGGAGAGUUGUAACACUCUAAUUUUUAUUUAAUUAUUUUUAAUUGUGUGGUGUCAUUUAUGUGAUUUUUGGUGAUUUAUGUAGUGUAUAUUUAUUUAUUAUAUGAUUAUUUUAUUAAAUAAUUAAAAUAAUAUAAGAAUAGGAUUAAUUAUUAUUUUGGGGGUUAUGAAAUAAUUAACAUAAUUAGUAGGGAGUUAAUUGCUAAUUAGGGAGUGGGAGGUUACAUUUUGGGAGUUGAGAAAAGGAAAGAAAAAUAGAGAAAACAGUUUUACGUGAAAACAGUCUGGUUUUGGGAGAAAAGCUAGUGCAAGGGAGAGAAGCUUAGGAAUCAUUGCUGCUGUAUUUUUUCUGCAAUUCUAAGGUAAGGGUGAGGUUUACCGCAAUUAUAUAGAUUCUGAAUGUUGAUUGUGUUCUAACAGGUUUAUGUGAGGAUUUGGGAGAAAUUGGGUUUUUGUUGAUUAAGGAGUUUUGAGUGUAGAAAUCAUAGAAUUGAGGGUAGAAAUGGGUUCUGGGUGCAUAAAACCUUUCAUUGCAUAUCUGUAAGCUAAUUUGGGGAGUGAAUUGAGGAAAAAUGGGAUUUUUGGGGAAAACCUGCAUUCUGCCCGUACUGAAGUUCAUCGCUCGCCUCGCGAGUAGCCAUUACUCGCCAUAGCGAGUGAACAACUUCAUCGCUCGCCCCGCGAGUGAUACAGCUCGCCAUGGCGAGUAUCCUUGUGAAAAUCUGGAUUUUGAAAAAGAUGUUAUAAGCCGUAUUUUGGGUAGUUUCGCGUACCUAGAUGAUUUUUAAGAGGACUAGAGCAAGUUUUAAGUGUAAAAGAUGAUUAGGGAGCUUAGAAUUGAGGUUUGAGUGAGAAAAAUGUCAUUUUUCCCGAGAGCACCAUAUUUCUGUUCGCCUCGAGUUCGCCUCCAACUCGCCAUGGCGAGUACCUGUUUUUCUGAGCUCGCCAUAGCGAGUAGAUGAGCUCGCGAGGCGAGCUGCCCAGUAUUUGGUUGGUUAAUUUCUGUUGUUGUUUGGAUUGUGUAUUUGGUUGAAUUAUUGCAUGGCUUGUAUGUUGAUAUAUAUUUCCCUGGACGUUUUGGUUGGUUUUGAUGAAUGGAUGCUGACUGAAUGAAUGUUGUAUUUAAUUAAAUUCCCUUAAAGGUGUAAGUUGGUUGGUGAAUCAUAUAUAUGUAUAUGUCUAGGUUGGUUGGUAUGUAGAUAUACUCUAUGAGGAUUAGUUGCAUUAACAUAACAGUGGGAGAGCUUCGGCUCUGGAAUGCUUAGUCGUUCAAAGUGGUGGAGUACUAGUUACUCAAAGUGGUGUAGUGGUGAGGACUUAUGUCCUGUUGAGAAUGCUUUAACCAUUCGACAGCGGUGUGGGUCACGGCCCUGAUUUUUGGUACCACAUGCAUGGGUGUUUAGAGGAGUCUUAGUGGAGUGGUGAUAAGUUGUAUAUAUAGUUGAGAGGUGUAUGAAUUAAUAUUGUGAUAAGAUGCGAAAAUGAUGUUAUGUAAAUAAUAAUGUUGAUGAUUUAUGAUAGGGUGUUAGAUUCAAUUGAUAUAUUCUUUAUCUAUAUUUUGUUGUGAAUCUCACCCCUUCUGCUUGAAAAUGUUGCCCUUCCUAUGGGUAACUUGCAGGUGAUCCUGAGUAGUUGGUGGUGGCUCAAUGUGUCUAGGACUCUGAUGCGUGGGUUGGGAUUUAUAGUUUAAGUUUCUACCUAUGUAUCAAAUUUUGGAACAAAUUAAUGUAGUCCAUGUUUUAUGUUGAAUUUUCAUGUUGAGGCUUAAUGCCAAGAUUAUUUUGGAUAAUGGAGUUUAAUUUAAAGAAUAUUCCGCUGCAG
This 1938-nucleotide long non-coding RNA is filed under the name Medicago truncatula (barrel medic). RNAcentral describes it as "long non-coding RNA (MTRU_LNC006449)". The record is from RNAcentral. Lineage: Eukaryota; Viridiplantae; Streptophyta; Magnoliopsida; Fabales; Fabaceae.